CCUACGGUGUGCAGCAGUGAGGAAUAUUGGUCAAUGGCCGGGCGGCUGAACCAGCCAAGUCGCGUGAGGGAAGACGGCCCUACGGGUUGUAAACCUCUUUUGUCAGGGAGCAAGGUGCAGGUCGGGACCUGCUGUGAGAGUACCUGCAGACAAAGCAUCGGCUAACUCCGUGCCAGCAGCCGCGGUAAUACGGAGGAUGCGAGCGUUAUCCGGAUUGAGUGGGUUUACAGGGUGCGCCGGCGGAGGCACCAGUCAGCGGUAAAAUCGCGGGGCUCAACCCCGCUCCGCCGUUGAAACUGUGUCCCUUGAGUGCGCGAAGGGUAAGCGGAAUGCGUGGUGUAGCGGUGAAAUGCAUAGAUAUCACGCAGAACUCCGAUCGCGAAGGCAGCCUACCGGCGCGCAACUGACGCUCAUGCACGAAAGCGUGGGUAUCGAACAGGAUUAGAUACCCUGGUAGUC
RNAcentral lists this ribosomal RNA (459 nucleotides) under uncultured bacterium. RNAcentral describes it as "partial 16S ribosomal RNA". It matches the Rfam family "Bacterial small subunit ribosomal RNA", at positions 338 to 795 of the family's 1533-position model. The record is from RNAcentral.